UCCCUGGUGCCUCAGAUGGUAGAGAAUCUGCCUGCAAUGCAGGAGGCCCAGGUUCAAUCCCUGGGUUGGGAA
This 72-nucleotide transfer RNA is filed under the name Capra hircus (goat). It matches the Rfam family "tRNA". From Rfam's summary of the family: Transfer RNA (tRNA) molecules are approximately 80 nucleotides in length. Their secondary structure includes four short double-helical elements and three loops (D, anti-codon, and T loops). Further hydrogen bonds mediate the characteristic L-shaped molecular structure. tRNAs have two regions of fundamental functional importance: the anti-codon, which is responsible for specific mRNA codon recognition, and the 3' end, to which the tRNAs corresponding amino acid is attached (by aminoacyl-tRNA synthetases). tRNAs cope with the degeneracy of the genetic code in two manners: having more than one tRNA (with a specific anti-codon) for a particular amino acid; and 'wobble' base-pairing, i.e. permitting non-standard base-pairing at the 3rd anti-codon position. RNAcentral also lists the same sequence under 1 other name. Lineage: Eukaryota; Metazoa; Chordata; Mammalia; Artiodactyla; Bovidae. The record is from Rfam by way of RNAcentral.